GACGAACGCUGGCGGCGUGCCUAAUACAUGCAAGUCGAGCGAACAGAAGCAGCAGAAUUACUUCGGUAAGGACGCUGUGGAAGUUAGCGGCGGAUGGGUGAGUAACACGUGGGUAACCUACCCUUAAGACUGGGAUACCACUUGGAAACAGGUGCUAAUACCGGAUAGGAGUAUGAGCUGCAUGGCUUAUACUUUAAAGGCGGCGAAAGCUGUCACUAAAGGAUGGACCCGCGGUGCAUUAGCUAGUUGGUAAGGUAACGGCUUACCAAGGCGACGAUGCAUAGCCGAGUUGAGAGACUGAUCGGCCACAUUGGGACUGAGACACGGCCCAAACUCCUACGGGAGGCAGCAGUAGGGAAUCUUCCACAAUGGACGCAAGUCUGAUGGAGCAACGCCGCGUGAGUGAAGAAGGUUUUCGGAUCGUAAAGCUCUGUUGUUGGUGAAGAAGGAUAUAGGUAGUAACUGGCCU
RNAcentral lists this ribosomal RNA (469 nucleotides) under Lactobacillus sp. oral taxon B73. RNAcentral's name for it is "bacterial SSU rRNA". It matches the Rfam family "Bacterial small subunit ribosomal RNA", at positions 28 to 475 of the family's 1533-position model. The record is from RNAcentral. Lineage: Bacteria; Bacillati; Bacillota; Bacilli; Lactobacillales; Lactobacillaceae.